Molecule: ribosomal RNA, 465 nt
Filed under: uncultured bacterium
Lineage: Bacteria
Description: partial 16S ribosomal RNA
Rfam family: Bacterial small subunit ribosomal RNA
Source: RNAcentral
CCUACGGGCGGCAGCAGUGGGGAAUAUUGCGCAAUGGGCGAAAGCCUGACGCAGCGACGCCGCGUGAGGGAUGAAGGUCUUCGGAUCGGAAACCUCUGUCAGCAGGGAAGAAAGGUCACUGUGCUAAUCAGCAGUGAAUUGACGGUACCUGCAAAGGAAGCACCGGCUAACUCCGUGCCAUCAGCCGCGGUAAUACGGAGGGUGCGAGCGUUAAUCGGAAUUACUGGGCGUAAAGCGAUCGUAGGCGGUAUGUCAAGUCAAGGGUGAAAUCCCCGCGCUCAACGUGGGAACUGCCUUUGAAACUGGCAAACUUGAGUGUGUGAGAGGAUAGUGGAAUUCCAGGUGUAGGAGUGAAAUCCGUAGAUAUCUGGAGGAACAUCAGUGGCGAAGGCGACUAUCUGGCACAUAACUGACGCUGAGGAGCUAAAGCGUGGGUAGCAAACAGGAUUAGAUACCCCUGUAGUC